This 510-nucleotide ribosomal RNA is filed under the name uncultured bacterium. RNAcentral describes it as "partial 16S ribosomal RNA". It matches the Rfam family "Bacterial small subunit ribosomal RNA", at positions 28 to 507 of the family's 1533-position model. The record is from RNAcentral.
GACGAACGCUGGCGGCGUGCUUAACACAUGCAAGUCGAACGAAGAGCGAUGGAAGCUUGCUUCUAUCAAUCUUAGUGGCGAACGGGUGAGUAACGCGUAAUCAACCUGCCCUUCAGAGGGGGACAACAGUUGGAAACGACUGCUAAUGCCGCAUACGAUCUGACCUCGGCAUCGAGGAUAGAUGAAAGGUGGCCUCUAUUUAUAAGCUAUCACUGAAGGAGGGGAUUGCGUCUGAUUAGCUAGUUGGAGGGGUGACGGCCCACCAAGGCGAUGAUCAGUAGCCGGUCUGAGAGGAUGAACGGCCACAUUGGGACUGAGACACGGCCCAGACUCCUACGGGAGGCAGCAGUGGGGAAUCUUCCGCAAUGGACGAAAGUCUGACGGAGCAACGCCGCGUGAGUGAUGACGGCCUUCGGGUUGUAAAGCUCUGUUAAUCGGGACGAAAGGCCUUCUUGCGAAUAGUUAGAAGGAUUGACGGUACCGGAAUAGAAAGCCACGGCUAACUACGUG